GACGAACGCUGGCGGCGUGCCUAAUACAUGCAAGUCGAACGAACUCUGGUAUUGAUUGGUGCUUGCAUCAUGAUUUACAUUUGAGUGAGUGGCGAACUGGUGAGUAACACGUGGGAAACCUGCCCAGAAGCGGGGGAUAACACCUGGAAACAGAUGCUAAUACCGCAUAACAACUUGGACCGCAUGGUCCGAGCUUGAAAGAUGGCUUCGGCUAUCACUUUUGGAUGGUCCCGCGGCGUAUUAGCUAGAUGGUGGGGUAACGGCUCACCAUGGCAAUGAUACGUAGCCGACCUGAGAGGGUAAUCGGCCACAUUGGGACUGAGACACGGCCCAAACUCCUACGGGAGGCAGCAGUAGGGAAUCUUCCACAAUGGACGAAAGUCUGAUGGAGCAACGCCGCGUGAGUGAAGAAGGGUUUCGGCUCGUAAAACUCUGUUGUUAAAGAAGAACAUAUCUGAGAGUAACUGUUCAGGUAUUGACGGUAUUUAACCAGAAAGCCACGGCUAACUACGUGCCAGCAGCCGCGGUAAUACGUAGGUGGCAAGCGUUGUCCGGAUUUAUUGGGCGUAAAGCGAGCGCAGGCGGUUUUUUAAGUCUGAUGUGAAAGCCUUCGGCUCAACCGAAGAAGUGCAUCGGAAACUGGGAAACUUGAGUGCAGAAGAGGACAGUGGAACUCCAUGUGUAGCGGUGAAAUGCGUAGAUAUAUGGAAGAACACCAGUGGCGAAGGCGGCUGUCUGGUCUGUAACUGACGCUGAGGCUCGAAAGUAUGGGUAGCAAACAGGAUUAGAUACCCUGGUAGUCCAUACCGUAAACGAUGAAUGCUAAGUGUUGGAGGGUUUCCGCCCUUCAGUGCUGCAGCUAACGCAUUAAGCAUUCCGCCUGGGGAGUACGGCCGCAAGGCUGAAACUCAAAGGAAUUGACGGGGGCCCGCACAAGCGGUGGAGCAUGUGGUUUAAUUCGAAGCUACGCGAAGAACCUUACCAGGUCUUGACAUACUAUGCAAAUCUAAGAGAUUAGACGUUCCCUUCGGGGACAUGGAUACAGGUGGUGCAUGGUUGUCGUCAGCUCGUGUCGUGAGAUGUUGGGUUAAGUCCCGCAACGAGCGCAACCCUUAUUAUCAGUUGCCAGCAUUAAGUUGGGCACUCUGGUGAGACUGCCGGUGACAAACCGGAGGAAGGUGGGGAUGACGUCAAAUCAUCAUGCCCCUUAUGACCUGGGCUACAUACGUGCUACAAUGGAUGGUACAACGAGUUGCGAACUCGCGAGAGUAAGCUAAUCUCUUAAAGCCAUUCUCAGUUCGGAUUGUAGGCUGCAACUCGCCUACAUGAAGUCGGAAUCGCUAGUAAUCGCGGAUCAGCAUGCCGCGGUGAAUACGUUCCCGGGCCUUGUACACACCGCCCGUCACACCAUGAGAGUUUGUAACACCCAAAGUCGGUGGGGUAACCUUUUAGGAACCAGCCGCCUAAGGUGGGACAGAUGAUUAGGGUG
Molecule: ribosomal RNA, 1489 nt
Filed under: Lactiplantibacillus plantarum
Lineage: Bacteria; Bacillati; Bacillota; Bacilli; Lactobacillales; Lactobacillaceae
Description: bacterial SSU rRNA
Rfam family: Bacterial small subunit ribosomal RNA
Source: RNAcentral